RNAcentral lists this long non-coding RNA (609 nucleotides) under Carica papaya (papaya). RNAcentral describes it as "long non-coding RNA (CPAP_LNC008991)". The record is from RNAcentral. Lineage: Eukaryota; Viridiplantae; Streptophyta; Magnoliopsida; Brassicales; Caricaceae.
AAUUAUAAGGUAGGAUUUUUAUAGCAAACCUUAUCAGAGUGUGGAGUAACUAUUGCAAUCAAAUUAUGUCCUAGAGUAAUAUCAAGAGUCUGGAACUGGGUCUGGCUGGGCUAUAAGAGGUGACUUAGAGAGCGAACUCUCAACUUUCUUAAUAAGGGAAACUCAAUAAGGCAAAUAACACCUAGGGGGCACAUAUUAGGGGGUGAGUUCCAUGUAAACUCAAUAAGGAAAAUAAUAUUUAUGAUCACAUGACUAAGGUUUAAAGAGUAAGUGAUUUGAAUAAAAUCUUUAUACCUCUUACUUUGGGGUUUCGCCACGAAAUGGAGUCAUUUAUUUAAUCAUAUAGAAAACCAUUGUCUUUAUGAAAAUCAUAUGCACAGGUAUUCAACCAUGCUAAAGAUACCAUAAAUUGACAUUCACGCAAACACACUAUAUCCCACAUAUUCAAACGAGUAAUUUGCUAGAUAAAUUGAGAAGUUUAAUAAAAUAACGGUCAGAGGGAUGUCAGGAGGUAUGAAUAAUGCGUAAUGCAAUAGAAAUAUCAUCAUACAGAUUAAGGAUGAUGCUCUAAACCUUAAUUAAAUGUUAUUUUUUCUUUUACUGACCUUC